GAUGAACGCUGGCGGCGUGCCUAAUACAUGCAAGUCGAGCGAACGGACGAGAAGCUUGCUUCUCUGAUGUUAGCGGCGGACGGGUGAGUAACACGUGGAUGACCUACCUAUAAGACUGGGAUAACUUCGGGAAACCGGAGCUAAUACCGGAUAAUAUUUUGAACCGCAUGGUUCAAAAGUAAAAGACGGUCUUGCUGUCACUUAUAGAUGGAUCCGCGCUGCAUUAGCUAGUUGGUAAGGUAACGGCUUACCAAGGCAACGAUGCAUAGCCGACCUGAGAGGGUGAUCGGCCACACUGGAACUGAGACACGGUCCAGACUCCUACGGGAGGCAGCAGUAGGGAAUCUUCCGCAAUGGGCGAAAGCCUGACGGAGCAACGCCGCGUGAGUGAUGAAGGUCUUCGGAUCGUAAAACUCUGUUAUUAGGGAAGAACAUAUGUGUAAGUAACUGUGCACAUCUUGACGGUACCUAAUCAGAAAGCCACGGCUAACUACGUG
This 497-nucleotide ribosomal RNA is filed under the name uncultured bacterium. RNAcentral's name for it is "partial 16S ribosomal RNA". It matches the Rfam family "Bacterial small subunit ribosomal RNA", at positions 28 to 507 of the family's 1533-position model. The record is from RNAcentral.